GCUAACGGCAGGUACUGGGGAAGACUCCCUAAUGGCAGGUAAGCACGGGAAGACUCGUGAAGAUUUUUCAACAUGUUGAAAAAUGUCCACGAGAGCCCCGAGUACCGACGAGUGGCCAUUACCGUAAAUCUCCGUGUUCGAAUCAGGGCAAACUCGGAAGAACUCUUGGAAUGAACUCGUACCAUGGGACAGGGCCAUUAAAGAGAGCCAAUCUUGGAGGGUUUGGAGGAUCUUGUGGAGAAGGGCUUUGUGAGGACAAUGAUUAAUUGCCUGAGGAGUAGGUGGAAACUCUUCCUUCCUGGAUUGUCCAGUUUCUCUAUUCCCUUGAUGUAGUCUGGGACCCAGUUAUCAGGUUAAAUUACUUUGAGAAUCUAAGGCAACAUACUCAUAAAUAUAUGAAAGUGGUGAAUCCAAUACAGAUCCUGCCAAACACAUUGCUGUUAAACUAGGUGUAGGCAGAUACUUUGGGUGCUUCUCUUUUUUGUAUCAACUGGAAACCUGUUACAAUCAGUACCAGUGUCCCUAUCAGUUUGAGGUCUGCAUUGAAGUUCUAAAGCACAAUAUUAUUGUGAGAAGACUUUUCCCAACUAAUUGUCCAGUGGGAUUAAUCAAAAAAUUUAUGCGGCCCUAAAAAUCACCCUUUAUCCUCCUGUGCUCCAUGGAAUAAAGUCAUAGCCUGAACAAACUUUCGCAAUGGCUUAGGUCCUCGAGUUCGGGUAAUCUAUACAAGUAAAAGUUUAAACUUGACCACUUCCUGUUUGCAUUGUAUAUUAAUUUUAGAAAAAACGCGACCACUUACAGCCAUGAUUUUUGGCCACCUUACUCAGAGUCCCCCUCCAGCUGUCAGGACCAGAGAAUUAUUCCCAUCGAUGAAAAAUAAAAUACAUUUUAAUGUUUAAAAAAUGUUGAGAUUCUCUCUCCUGUCAAUCAUGCCAUGAAGGCCACGCCCCUUCCGGUGGGAGUGGAGAGGAACUAUAAAACCCGGAUGUGUGGGCGUGGCUCAGUCUCUGCAAUAUGGGCGAGGGAGAGUGUCGCAACUGAGCUGGAUAUCUACAGAACUGAGAAUACUGACCUUGGACGCAGUAGAUGAGGUUGGAGGACGUGCAAGUGAACCUCUGCCUCACCUGAAAAGGACUGUUGGGGUCCCUGGACAGAGUCGAGGGACCAUGUUAUAUUCAAGAAGGAACUGCAGAUGCUGGAAAAUCGAAGGUAGACAAAAGUGUUGGAGAAACUCAGGGGGUGAGGCAGCAUCUAUGGAGCGAAGGAAAUAGGCAACAUUUUGGGCUGACCUUCUUCAGACUCUUCGAACCAUGUUAUGUUUUGUGCAUGUACAUCUUUGACAAAAGAAAAUAAAAGGCUGCAUAGAAACAGG
Leucoraja erinaceus (little skate) is the source of this 1372-nucleotide long non-coding RNA. RefSeq lists it as uncharacterized. The record is from RefSeq and is a predicted model, not a curated record. The transcript has 3 exons. Lineage: Eukaryota; Metazoa; Chordata; Chondrichthyes; Rajiformes; Rajidae.